GGGCGGGCAGAGGGGGCUGGCCGGGGCUGCCGGGGCGGCGGGGCCCCCGCGCGGCGGCCCGCACCCCCCCACCGCCCAGGAAGGUGGGGGGCGUGGGGCUGGGGGCGGCGGGCGGCGGGCAGCGGAGGGCGGCGGCGGCGGGGGGCGGCGGGGGGCGGCGGGGAGCGGCGGGGAGCGGCGGGCGGCGGGCGCUUCCUCGCGGCUCCGCUUCCUCCUAGCUCGUCGGGUGCAUGGUCGCGGCGGCGGCGGCGGCGGCGGCGGCGGCGGCGGCGGCGGCGGGGGCCGGGGCGGGGGCCGGGGCGGGGGCCGGGGCCGGGGCGGCGGGGGCCGGGGCGGCGGCGGGCGUGUCUCGGCCCCGCCGCGCGCUCGUGUGUACAGUACGUGUGUCUGGGCGGCCGUCCGCGGGCGAGUGUGCGGCGGGGGCCGCGGGGGCCGGCUCAGUUGAGAGAUUGCAGAAGCCGCUCGGCGCCCGCGCGAUUGGUCCCCGCGGGGUCAUGUGCCCGCCCCUCUGACGUCAAUGGCGGCAACGGCGGCGGCCGCCGCGGCUCCGGCCUCUCGCAGGCGGGGUCGGCCGCCGGGCCCGGCCGCGAGGGCCCGAGGGCGGCCCGACGGGAGGGGCGGCCCCCGGGGAGGGGGCGGCGGCGGACGAGCCCCCGCGGCCCCGGCCUGCCCCGCCCCGAGCGCGGGGGUGGGCGGGGGCCGCGGGGGCGGGGCGCGUGACGUCACGGCCAGCCGCGCCCCCGCGGGUGCCCAGGCGGGUGCCCGGGCGGGGGCCGGGGCGGGGGCCGGGGCGGGGGCCGGGGCGGGGGCCGGGGCUCGGCGGGUGCGGAGCGGAGCGGCCCGCCCCGGGCGGCCAGGACCCGGACGGCCAGCGCCCCGGGACGCACGGACGCGGCGGCCCGAGACCAGGCCCCGCACGAGGCUGGGAGAGAACCCUACUGGAAGCACCCUGGUGUCACCGAGGACCUCCAACUCUGCAACAAGGACAUGUCCUUUCUGUCUUCGGGAGAGGCACCUAAAGCCACCCAGCAAAUGCUCAGCUUCCCCGCCAGGCUUUCUCACAGCCACACACGUCUGCAGUUAAUACCAUUGAAACCCCCAGAUGUUUGCCUUUUUUGUUAAGUGAAGGUGCCUCCGUAGUGAAUAUGUGAGCGUGUGAGUGUGUAUUGAAUUGCACGGUGAAUGCUGGCAGUUGGCCCACAGCAUCCCUGUCGGGGGAAUUAGACCCCCACCCCCCACCCCUCUCCCAAGAACAGACAAGAUGGAGGGGCUCCUGGCAAGGAUCCGAUCCCUGGGCCUGGCCGGGGCUGCAGUGGGGGUGGGGAGGCACAUAGGGCCUGUGUCUGGAGAGGGGUAGAGCUGUUCUCUCCUCCUGGCCCCCUGCGGAGGCAGUUAGGUGAGAAAAUGGGGAAUUGGUCAACCCUCCACCAUUUGCUGGCAAAUUCUGAUCUUCGAACUCUAAAGUUUACAGCCUUGAGAAAAUAAGCAAGAAAGGGUCAAGCCCACACCCCCACCUCAUGAUAUAGAUGUGGUUUCAGGGCAUGAUUGUGACCAAAACCUCCAGGCCAUUAAGAGGUGGGGUUAGGCCAGUUGUUCAACCCUUUAUUGAGCUCUUCCUGUAUGUUAAGUGCUCUGCAUGCAUACAAUUGCUCCUGCUCAGAGCAACCACAAUCUAGGUGCCAUCACCAUCCCCUCUGGCAGGUGAGGGUACAGAGAGGCUGAGUAACUUGCCAGGUGCAUUUAGCUCAUCAGGCUGAGUCUAGGACAAUGUAAAGGCAAUGACCACGCUGUGCUUAGGCUACAGGAAAAGAGAGGGGACACCUGAUCCAGCUAUACUGUGGCCCCGGGGUACAUGUACUGACUCCAGGAGGUCUUCAGGAAUCAGGUAAAGAAGGGAAAAGGUGCUUCUGGAAGAGGGGAUGGCACAUACAAAGGUAAGAAGUCGGAUAACACUCAGCCUGUCCAGGAAACUACAUGCAUUUGACAAGGCUUGCAAAGUGCCCCAGGCUUGCAGGGCAGAAGGCUAAAAGGUGACCUGGGGCUGAGUGCCCUGAAAUGGGACCAGACCAAGAGCAGUGGAAAGCCGCCACAUGGACCAUACAAGGGAGUGGGUUGUGGAUAUCACCUUCAUCAGGUCACUGGCCACAGCAUGACAUGGUCAAGGUUUGCAGAGGAGCAACCUGGAGACAGGGAAGUCAGUGAGGAGGCUGUCAGAGUACCCAGGAGGGAGAUGAUGGGGGCCAACGUGGAGUCACGGGGUAGGAUGGCUCAGAGCAGCUGCUGUCCACUUUAGGGACAUCCGCAGACCCUCCUCUCCCCAUCCAGGGGGCAAACUCCAGCAGGAUGAGAUUUACCAGGGAGCAAAAAUCCCUGAUUUCUUCUAGGACCAUUCCAGACAUCCUCAGCUGCUGCUUGGGUUCGGUGGUUGAUUUGUAAACGUUACAUAGGCAUAUCACGAUAACAAUGAGCAGCAUGCCAAGUGCCAGGUACCAUGCCAGAGCUUUCAUGUUUGUUCUUUCUCCCCCAGGGAGCCCAGAAGACACAAAUCAUUAUCAUCCCCCUCUUAAAGGUGAGGAAGUUAAGGCUCAGAGAUGAUCAGACACCUGGUGGGAAUCCAGCCAAGGUGUGAACCCAUAAUUCCGUUUGACCUAAAAUUCCAUGCUUUCCCUCCACUCCUUCUUUGUAAUGUUUCCCUGUGCAGGUGCUCAGGGGAAAAGUGUUGAAUUGAUGUCAUCUUUAAAUACUACUUCUCGGUUUUAGUUUGAAGUGAGUGACACGGAGCCCCCAAGAUGCUGCAAGAAGAGUUCCAUGAAGGCAGAAGCCAACAGUUCCUGGCUCACGGCAGAGCUAGCUUAGCGCCUGCACGUGAUCAGGCUUAACAAGUAUGCAGUGAUUGAUCAAUUGAUAGUCACACUCACCUAUUCCCCAGUGCUUAGGAAUGUGCACGCAAUAGGACCGGGUCCGUACACUGGGCAGCGUUGGGACUCGGUGGGUGCUUUGCAGAGCACCUUGCCUCCCACUGUCCCAGGUUCCUGACCUAAAAACCAAUGAGUCUAACUGCCAGAUUCCAUCAGAAGCCCCCCUCAACACCGCUCCCCCCAGCUCCCCAACCUCUGUAGGAGACAUAGGCCCAACAAAUUUCCAUGGAUGGAUCAUGUGCCCUAGUGGUCCUUAAAGCCACCAGACCCAAACUCUCCAAAGAACAAGCGAGGCCCUUCCUGGGCCACAUGGGUGGAGAGCCCACUCUGUGGCAAGCACAGUUCUAGGAGCUGAGGUUGCAGUGAACGGCAAUAAACUGCCCUCAUGCGCUCACAUCUCCCCUCCCAGGUGCCUGAAGUCUCCCCUUGAGCUAAGAGGGGAAAGACAGAGCUGGCUGCCCACAAAGGAAUGUGAUGAAGUAGCAAAGUCCCUGGUGGGGGAGGAGAACAUGGGGCUGAUGGCCAGUCCUAGGAGAGGUCCACCUCAGCCCCCUCCUCUAUCACUCCUGCCCCUCCUGGGAGACAUGCCUGUAGCUGGGUGGUCUCCUCCUUGGGGUGGUCUCCAGUGGAGAUCCCCACCAGCCUUUGCAUAGCCCCUUUCUUCUCCUCGCCAGCAUGAAUGGUGCACAAACCCAACACCCUGUACCCUCUAAGAGGGCAGGGUUCAUUCCAGUUUUGCCCAUUACUGUGCCCAGUGGUUUACUAGUAAACGUUUAACAGUCAACUUACUGAAAGACGAGAAUCUGAUUUAGAGCAUUUGACUUCCCUGGUGUAAAUAUUCCCAACAUGGCAGUCUUCAAGCUACCAAAGUGCAUCACUGAACAAGGAGCUGGGAAGAGAUGCAUCCAUCCCAUCAUAGUGUAUGUCCACAUACAGACACAAUAUCCCAGGGGUCACACCAGCAAACCAUGGCUGAGGGGCCAGAUUCAGCUCGUGGCUGGCAAAGCAUAAAAUACCAUCUGGCCCUUACAACAGAAAAAAUUGGAGAGCCCUGCAAUAGGCAUAACCUUCAGAACAGAGAUACUAAUAAAAUAUAAUAGAAUGAUUAGGAAAUGAUGAGGUUUAGUACCUUUUAAAAAUAUAAUUUAGGGGCACCUGGAUGGCUCAGUGGUUGAGCGUCUCCCUUUGGCUCAGUGUGUGAUCCCGGUGUCCUGGGAUCAGGUCCCACAUCAGGCUCCCUGCAGGGAGCCUGCUUCUCCCUCUGCCUGUGUCUCUCUCUGCCUCUCUGUGUCUCUCAUGAAUAAAUAAAUUAAAUAUUUAAAUAUACAUAAAAAAUUUAAUUGUAACAUUAUAUAACAUAAGCCUGUUUAGUAGCUGUUUGACAACCAACUUGAAAAAUUUCUGAGAAACCAACAACCGGCUCUCAUGAGCCAGUAUAGGGUCAACUCCAAAAUGCCCGUGUCUCUAGGGUCCAGCCCAGAGGAGCUACAUAGUGAUUACUGGUUGACUGGUUCAAAAUCAAUACCAAUAUUCAAACUACUAGGCCACACUGCCCUGCUCCAUUCUUUCAAUUCCAUUAAACACCUAUCUAGUUGUGCCUCCAGAGUGCCAAGGACUUUGCUAGAUAAAGUUAGUUCUCCUUGGAUACGUUCCAAGAUCCCCAGUGGAUGCCUGAAAACACAGAUAGUACCAAACCCUAUAUGGACUGUUUUUUCCUAUACACAGAUAUCAAUGAUAAAAGUUUAAAAAUUAGGCACAGUAAGAGAUUAACAACAAUGACUAAUAAUAACAUAACAAUAUAGUGUAAUAAAAGUUAUGUGAAUGUGGUCUCUCAAAAUAGCUUGUUGUACCAUACUCACCCUUUUUGUGAUAAUAAGAGAUAAUAAAAUGCCUACAUGAGAUGAGAUGAAGUGAGGUGAAUCACAUAGACAUGUGCUGUAGCGUUGGGCUACUUCUGAACUUUUUUUUUUUUUAAUUUUAUUUGAGAAAGAGGGAGAGCACAGAUGGAGAAGGAGAGGGAGAAGCAGGCUCUCCACUCAGCAGAGAGCCUGACGUGGGACUAGAUCCCAGGACCCUGAAAUCAUGACCUGAGCUGAAGGCAGAAGCUCCACCAGCUGAGCCACCCAGGUGCCCCUACUGUUGAUCCUCUGAAAAGAUGUCAGAAGGAGGAUCAUCUGCUUCUGGACAGGGUAAUCUCGAGGGUGAUCUCAAGUAACGAAGCACGGAUAAGGAGGACUUCUGUACUGCAGAUCCACUCACACAAGAUACUGCCCUCCCAGGGCUCAUAGGUGAAUGGGGGGAACCUGACACCCCUCCCUUCCAACCACCUGCCCCCCAAAAGAAAAGUAUUCCAGGAGAAAAAAAAAGCUCUCUGCCAUUCCCUUUCCCAGCUGUGUAUAUUUUAUUGAUUUAUUAUAAAGUGGGGUCCUAACUGAGCCUUUUUCCAGGUCGUAGACAUUAAAUGAGAUCAUCAGCAUUGGGCUCACAGCCUGGCACAGAGCAGGUGCCCUGGAUCCGCGGUAGCCACCUGGCAUGGCUACUGUCAGUUUAGAACCGCGCUGACCCGGCCCCGAGCGCUGGCUUUCCAUCUAUUCCACUCGUCCAGACCUUCCCCACUUGCCCAGUGACUGGCACACUCUCACGACAGCAUCUCUGCAGGGU
RNAcentral lists this long non-coding RNA (5579 nucleotides) under Canis lupus familiaris (dog). RNAcentral's name for it is "lncRNA (ENSCAFG00845019625.1)". The record is from RNAcentral. Lineage: Eukaryota; Metazoa; Chordata; Mammalia; Carnivora; Canidae.